RNAcentral lists this transfer RNA (86 nucleotides) under Streptomyces sp. L-9-10. Its description in RNAcentral is "tRNA-Gly". It matches the Rfam family "tRNA". From Rfam's summary of the family: Transfer RNA (tRNA) molecules are approximately 80 nucleotides in length. Their secondary structure includes four short double-helical elements and three loops (D, anti-codon, and T loops). RNAcentral also lists the same sequence under 4 other names. Lineage: Bacteria; Bacillati; Actinomycetota; Actinomycetes; Kitasatosporales; Streptomycetaceae. The record is from RNAcentral.
CUCCUUGUAGCUCAGUGGCAGAGCCCUGGGACACCGUGGCCGGUGUCACGUAUCCAGGCCCCCCGGUUCGAUUCCGGGCAAGGAGA